RNAcentral lists this long non-coding RNA (742 nucleotides) under Salvia miltiorrhiza (redroot sage). RNAcentral describes it as "long non-coding RNA (SMIL_LNC004874)". Lineage: Eukaryota; Viridiplantae; Streptophyta; Magnoliopsida; Lamiales; Lamiaceae. The record is from RNAcentral.
UAUCCCCGAGUUAAGCAUUAGUCAAGUUUACUACCAAGGAUUUGAGGUGGGUAAAAUAAAGAAAAUUAUUUUAUUUCAAGUUAAAUUCCGCAAGAAAAUGUUUAAGUUAUUUAUUGUGAAAGUUAUUUUAUGUCCAACGUGUUUACAUAUGCUAUGAUUUAUGAAUGAGAUUAUGAUGUGAGCAUAUAGCAAUAUGCAAAGUUUAUGUUCCUGUGCACAGUUGAAGUGAUAUGUCCCAUGUGUUCAUACUUCCUUAAGUGUUGUAUUGAAAUGUGGUUGAAGUUAUGUCCCAUAUUUCCUCUCUUGUUAUUUGAGCAAGUUGUUGGUUUAUGGUUGAAGUUAUGAUUUUAUAUUUCAUAUGCUAUGUUUCACGUUUGGACAAAGUAAAAGUUAGUUAUGAAUUCCCCCUCACUGAGUAUAUUUAAAAUACUCACCCCAAUUUGUUUAAAACCUUUUCAGGCGAGGAGCAGGGAGAUGCGUGAUGGAUGUGUGUGGUGCUUAGGAUAUUUUAAUCAUGCUUUCUAUAGUAUUAUUAAAGACUCUUUGUUGGUUAAGAAAAAUUUAGGAUUUGAAGUAAGUUUAUUUUGAUGGUAAAGUUUAAGAAUUUCUAGUGAAUCAUAUUUGACUUUCUUAUAUAAUGUUAGGUACUUUGAUAAAUUAGUGUUAUGUUUUCAAUCUAGUGUGUAUGGUAUUUUUCUAAAAAUGAUAUUUGGUUGUUUUACCUUCGAUUAUUAGGUUCUCU